Stomoxys calcitrans (stable fly) is the source of this 705-nucleotide long non-coding RNA. RefSeq lists it as uncharacterized. The transcript has 3 exons. Lineage: Eukaryota; Metazoa; Arthropoda; Insecta; Diptera; Muscidae. The record is from RefSeq and is a predicted model, not a curated record.
AUUGUGGCUAGAUAAAUUGUUACGACCACUGAUGUGAGGCUAAGGGAGCUUUCUAUUUGGUCAUGUGGCGGCUACGCACACUUUGUUAUCAUUGAAGAUUGAAGAAAAUUUUCAAAAUGUCUGACAGUUCGUUUUUUUAUUUGAAGGAAAGAGGUUCGGAAGAGAGUAACGGAAAAAUAUGGCUAGAUGUUAUAGAUGAACACAAGAAAUAAAACAACAAAUGACCCUUUUAUUAAAGGUGUGAUUUUAUAAUCAAUUUAAGGUGUGGAAAAAAAAUAUAGAAACCGUUGUAGCAAUCUGCCUUGGUUUUUAAGAUAUGGUAGGCAAAAUGAAAUUAAAUUUCUGGUGCACCAAACACAACUUAAAGUUGAAAACUUCAUUUAAGAAAUUCUCUGAUAUUAUAUUAAUCUAAAACCACAAGCAACCAUGGAUUUUUUCAGCAAAUAAAUAUCCAAAGCAGCAGAAAAAAUAUAUCCAUCCAUAUUUAAAGCUCUAUUUUAAUUAUUUUAUAGUUACUUCAACAUUCUAGGCGGAAAAUUAAAAUUACAAGUAACCAUGGCUCUUUGCACCAAAUACAUAUCGAAAUACCAAGAAGAAUGGUAAAAAACGGUCAAAAGAUAUGAAUAAUAACUUAUAUUAAAAAUAAAUGUUUUAGAUAGUUUAUUAAUGAAUACCUCCACAACAAGAUUAAAUCUUCUAGUUAUA